Long non-coding RNA from Zootoca vivipara (common lizard), 596 nucleotides. RefSeq lists it as uncharacterized. Lineage: Eukaryota; Metazoa; Chordata; Lepidosauria; Squamata; Lacertidae. The record is from RefSeq and is a predicted model, not a curated record.
CACAGCCAGAAAACUUUGCCCUUUCCUGCCUGGCUCCACAAAGCAGAAGAAACAAGACCCCGGAACAGUGGAAAGGGAGGCAGUUUGUAAUUCUGACUGGAGAUGAGCAGCCACACUCCAGGAGAUUUACAGAAGGGAGAGUGACAGCUGGGGAAAGCUUGUUUUUUUGCUCCUGUGCAAGGAGCUAUUCAGACAUUACAGAUGUGCAUUGACUUCAGACAAAUCCCAAAUCCAGAGCCAAAAAAGUAUCACAUUUCAGAAGGAUUUUGGACAAAUCUCAACUGAAGCAGGUACCUUCUGAAUCGACCUAAGCCAAACUGGGCUGUUUCAUGGAGAUUUGGUACCAAUACAGAUGGACAAAGGCACUUAGACAAGACUCUGGUUUGAAGAAUGUUCUAAUUGGAGGUUGUGGGCAAGAGCAUAGAAGUGAAAAGAGCAGAAGAUGACGUGUUUGAAAAGAUAGCUCCUGUUUUAGUGCAAGCUGAUUGUGGAGCCUGAUCCCGUUAACAGACAGCAGGAUGCCUGAGACUGAAGAAGCGCUUUCUGUAUGUCUUGUGAAAAUCUACUUAGUGGCGAAUCACUGCAGUCGGAAAGGA